AGACAUUUUCUGUGCAAAUAGGACAUUUCUGAGGCAAAUCGUACACUUCUUGAGGGAAAUCAAACAUUUUUGAGACAAACCAGACACCUCACAGGGAAAUGAGACAUUGAUGAAGUAAAAUCAGACCUUCCUGAGGGAAACCAGACAUUUUCUCAGGGAUAUCGGUCAUUUUCUGACGGAAGUCGGUCAUUUCUGAGGCAAAAGACAUUUUCCUGAAGGAACUGGGGCUUUUCUGAGGUAAAACCAAGGAGAAAAGGGUGAUUUUUUUUUUAACUGUUCAGUCUCUCCGGACGCGGCGGAGGUGACUCGGCGCUUCCCCCGCCCAAUGCGGAGCGCACGGAGCGAUGGCGCCGCGCCCCCGCCCCCGGCGCCGCCCCCGCGGCGACUGCGGCAAAACCAAGGGAGGGCCCUGGUGAGGGGCGGGGUCUCCGCGCGGACCCGCCCAGGGCGCCUCACUCUCAGAUCCCUCCGCGCGCGGAUCCCUCCGCGCCUCACAUGGCCACGUCCCACUCACCUCGGAUCCCUCCGCCGGAUCCUUCCGCCGCCGCUCCCGCCCCCAAAUCUCUUUUUUUUUGCUUGUAAAUGGGCGUGGGGGAGGGGCGGAAUGAAAGUCGGGGCUGUGGGGGAGGGGAGCGAGGUGGGGGAGGGGGUCUGUGCCCAUUUAGCGGCGGUCUGAGGGGGCCCCGCGGCGGAGGGGACGCGAUGAAGUUUCCCCCCUGCUCGCGCCCCUUUUCGUGAGGAAACGCCCCAAAAAUGUCGGAACAGCUCCUCCCACACCCCCAAAAUGCCUCAUCGCUUUCAUCAGCACCUUUAAUUAGCCCCAGAGCAGCUUUAAUGAAUGAUAAUUAAAAGGUUGGGGGGGAGGGUUGUCCCCUCCCUGUGCCAGCACUUUUGGGGUGUCAUUUCCUGCCCGGAAACGCCUCAAAAUGCCAAAAAAGUGCCUUAAAAUGCCUCAGAAUAGUGGGGUUUAAUUCUCCUUAUUGAAAACAGGGACUUCCAUGACUCAGCAUGGCCUGAAAUGGGGUGAAACACGGAGAUUUUGAUGCAUUUCUGUCGUAAAAAAGGAAAUUAAAAUAGUGGUUAGGGCUGUGCUAUAUCAGGGUGGGAAAAGGGGUUUAAAAAGUGUUGUUUGGGCUUUUUGGGGAACAAAAACUGGUGAAAAUUGGGCUUUGGGUCUGUGUUCCCUCAAGAACUUUUUUUUCCCCCCAAUAUUUGUGACCCUUUUGAGGAGAAACGGCGCCUUUUUGGCAGCGGCCCAGCCCCGUGACGCAGCAAAAGCAAAAACCAGAGUAAAAUGAAUGACUAAAAACCAAAAAACCUCCAGAAUCACCCGGGAAGGUCGAAGCGAGGGAUUUUAGGGCAGAAUUGGCCAAACCAAACGAAAAAUCGCCGUUCGAUUUAACCGUUUUUGUGCUGGACCGCGUGGGGCGGCCGAAGGCCCACGGCCGCGGGGGGAGGGGGUGGCGCGGUUUGUGAGGGGAAAAAAUCAAAGAAAGGGGUAAAAAAAGUGAAAUCAUGAAAAAAUGAGCUUUUUCACACUGCGGGUGGUGGAUUGGGUGCGGGGAUUUUGGGGGUUGCUGCCCUUUUUUGGUGAUUUUAGGGACUAUUUUGUCGCCCCCGCGGGGGCGGCGCCGGGCCGUUUAUAAGGCAGGGCCCCGCGCCGGCAGCGCCCGGCCGAGAAGCAGCCCCGAAACGGCCCCAAUUCGGCCCAAAAGCGCUUAGAGCUGCUCCAUUUUAUACAAAAAAAGCUCCUAAAAUGGCUUUAUUUCCUACCGAGAGCUCAAAAAAUGGCUUUAUUGCCUACGAAAAGCUCUUCAAGCUGCGAUAUUUUAUAGAAAGAGCUCCCAAGACUGCUUUAUUUCACAAAAGCGGCUCUUAAAUAUUUAUUUAAAGAAAAGAGACAAAAGCUGUUUCCUUUAAGGAAAUCUGAGCUUUUAAAGCUGCUUUCUUUCAAUAUAAAUCCUUAAAUUGCGGCGAUUCCAGUAAUGGGAAAAGCCGAGGCGAGCCGGGGCACUUUUAAUUGAAAAAAAUGAAUGAAAAACCUUAAAAAAGCUCUUAAAGCUGGUUUUCAUUUAAACCGAAGCUUCUAAUGCUGGUUUUAAAGAAAUCGCUGCUUUCAAAGCCGAUUUCUGGGAGAAGAGGCAGCUCUCGCAGCUCUUUAAUUCUUAAAAUAUCUUAAUGUGAUAUUUUCAAAAAGCCGGAGCGAGCUGGGGCGAUUUUAAUUUAAAAAGAGCUUUUUAAGCUUCUUUAAUUUAAAGAAAGAAAAAGCGCUUGAUACGCUGUUUUCUGCUAAAAAAGCUCAUAAAUUUAAUUUUUUUUAAAAAAAGCUCCUAAAGCUUUUUUAAAAUGUAGUUUUGUCCCCAAGUGGGGCCGGGCCGGGCAGCGCAGGCGGGGGCGGCCGGUUUGGGGUGAAAUGCGGCAUUUUCAGGCUCAGGAUGGAUUGAGAGGAGCCAAUUUUGAGGGAAGAGCAGGAAAACUGAAGAGUGAAGAUGGAGUCGGCAGGGAAAGAAAAGUUUUUCUUCGCAGUGGCCCCAUCUGGGGGGAAAAAAGGACUUUUUGGUAAAAUGGCGGCAGUUGGGCAGGAGAGGAGGAGAGAGAAGAGAGGAAACGAAAGGACAGAAAGACAGAAAAUAGAACAUAAAAGAGAGAGAAAAUAGAAGAAAAUCAGAAAAAAAA
This is a long non-coding RNA of Passer montanus (Eurasian tree sparrow), 2676 nucleotides long. RefSeq lists it as uncharacterized. The record is from RefSeq and is a predicted model, not a curated record. The transcript is spliced from 2 exons. Lineage: Eukaryota; Metazoa; Chordata; Aves; Passeriformes; Passeridae.